Molecule: ribosomal RNA, 468 nt
Filed under: uncultured bacterium
Lineage: Bacteria
Description: partial 16S ribosomal RNA
Rfam family: Bacterial small subunit ribosomal RNA
Source: RNAcentral
GACGAACGCUGGCGGCGUGCUUAACACAUGCAAGUCGAACGGAAAGGCCCUGCUUUUGUGGGGUGCUCGAGUGGCGAACGGGUGAGUAACACGUGAGUAACCUGCCCUUGACUUUGGGAUAACUUCAGGAAACUGGGGCUAAUACCGGAUAGGAGCUCCUGCUGCAUGGUGGGGGUUGGAAAGUUUCGGCGGUUGGGGAUGGACUCGCGGCUUAUCAGCUUGUUGGUGGGGUAGUGGCUUACCAAGGCUUUGACGGGUAGCCGGCCUGAGAGGGUGACCGGCCACAUUGGGACUGAGAUACGGCCCAGACUCCUACGGGAGGCAGCAGUGGGGAAUAUUGCACUAUGGGCUGAAGCCUGAUGCAGCAACGCCGCGUGCGGGAUGACGGCCUUCGGGUUGUAAACCGCUUUCGCCUGUGACGAAGCGUGAGUGACGGUAAUGGGUAAAGAAGCACCGGCUAACUACGUG